UUGUAUAGGACUCUCCUAUUGGUAUAAAAUUAUCCUUCAACCUUUGUUCCCUUCUAUACCCUUGGCUUGGAUGUGGGUUAUAGGGCACCUGAAAAUUUCGUGGAGGCUGGUGGAGAUCUUGCGGGGCUCGUGCUCGUGCUCGCCUUCUAGGGUGUCUUGGUGGACGAGCAUCAUACUGAGGUGUAGCAACAGACUAUUGAGGGUUCUGAGGCAGAUAAUAUUCCUCAAGGGAGUCAUGGAAAACCUGAGGAAGUUGAUCAUACCUUUGAGAUGUUCUCCUUGGACCUCUCUCAGCCCUGAUGUCAUCAUGAUUUCUUCACCUUUCUCAUUCGUGUCACCAAAAUUAUCAGAUUCAACCUGGACAGCCUGAGUUGCGGCUUUAAGAACUUCUUGACUUAUAAUUUUGCCUGUCUCAAGACCAUUCUCAA
Molecule: long non-coding RNA, 428 nt
Filed under: Nicotiana benthamiana
Lineage: Eukaryota; Viridiplantae; Streptophyta; Magnoliopsida; Solanales; Solanaceae
Description: long non-coding RNA (NBEN_LNC018045)
Source: RNAcentral